GAUUUCAGAUUUUCAUGAGAAGCGACAGGAGCUCUGUAUUCUUAAUCCAAAGAAAGCCUACAAUGUGUCCAUUCUGAUGGGUCACCUGAAGAUGACCGGAGCCAAGAUGAAGGAGGCCCUGUAUCGGAUGGAUGAACACAUCUUGACUCCGGAGCUCAUUAAACAACUCCUGGCUUACUCUCCGAAUGGGACAGAGAUGGCCAGCUAUGGUGAUUUCAAGGGAGACAUUGAAGAUCUUAGCAAACCC
Long non-coding RNA from Haliotis rubra (blacklip abalone), 247 nucleotides. RefSeq lists it as uncharacterized. The record is from RefSeq and is a predicted model, not a curated record. NCBI's taxonomy places the organism in Eukaryota, Metazoa, Mollusca, Gastropoda, Lepetellida, Haliotidae. The transcript is spliced from 3 exons.